UACGGAGGGUGCGAGCGUUGUCCGGAAUCACUGGGCGUAAAGAGCUCGUAGGCGGUCCGUCGCGUCGAUUGUGAAAACCCGGGGCUCAACUCCGGGCUUGCACUCGAUACGGGCGGACUAGAGUUCGGUAGGGGAGACUGGAAUUCCUGGUGUAGCGGUGAAAUGCGCAGAUAUCAGGAGGAACACCGGUGGCGAAGGCGGGUCUCUGGGCCGAUACUGACGCUGAGGAGCGAAAGCGUGGGGAGCGAACAGG
RNAcentral lists this ribosomal RNA (253 nucleotides) under uncultured bacterium. RNAcentral's name for it is "partial 16S ribosomal RNA". It matches the Rfam family "Bacterial small subunit ribosomal RNA", at positions 524 to 776 of the family's 1533-position model. The record is from RNAcentral.